RNAcentral lists this ribosomal RNA (254 nucleotides) under uncultured bacterium. Its description in RNAcentral is "partial 16S ribosomal RNA". It matches the Rfam family "Bacterial small subunit ribosomal RNA", at positions 524 to 776 of the family's 1533-position model. The record is from RNAcentral.
UACGUAGGCAGCAAGCGUUGUUCGGAGUUACUGGGCGUAAAGGGUGCGUAGGCGGCUUCUUAAGUCUGGUGUGAAAUCUCCCGGCUCAACUGGGAGGGUGCGCCGGAUACUGAGGGGCUAGAGUGUGGGAGAGGAAAGUGGAAUUCCUGGUGUAGCGGUGAAAUGCGUAGAUAUCAGGAAGAACACCCGUGGCUAAGGCGGCUCUCUAGUACGGUACUGACGCUGAGACGCGAAAGCGUGGGGGAGCGAACAGG